Molecule: transfer RNA, 86 nt
Filed under: Bradyrhizobium shewense
Lineage: Bacteria; Pseudomonadati; Pseudomonadota; Alphaproteobacteria; Hyphomicrobiales; Nitrobacteraceae
Description: tRNA_Pseudo_CGG
Source: RNAcentral
CGGUAUCAAGAAAGUCAAUGACUUAGAAGAUGCUCACUGCGUUCGGGACGCAGGGGUCGCAGGUUCGAAUCCUGCCACUCCGACCA